CCUACGGGAGGCUGCAGUGGGGAAUAUUGGACAAUGGGCGAAAGCCUGAUCCAGCCAUGCCGCGUGUGUGAAGAAGGCCUUCGGGUUGUAAAGCACUUUCAGUGGGGAAGAAAGCCUUGGGGCUAAUACCCUCGAGGAAGGACAUCACCCACAGAAGAAGCACCGGCUAACUCCGUGCCAGCAGCCGCGGUAAUACGGAGGGUGCGAGCGUUAAUCGGAAUUACUGGGCGUAAAGCGCGCGUAGGCGGUCUGUAAGCCGGUUGUGAAAGCCCCGGGCUCAACCUGGGAACGGCAUCCGGAACUGUCAGGCUAGAGUGCAGGAGAGGAAGGUAGAAUUCCCGGUGUAGCGGUGAAAUGCGUAGAGAUCGGGAGGAAUACCAGUGGCGAAGGCGGCCUUCUGGACUGACACUGACGCUGAGGUGCGAAAGCGUGGGUAGCAAACAGGAUUAGAUACCCUAGUAGUC
RNAcentral lists this ribosomal RNA (464 nucleotides) under Vreelandella stevensii. RNAcentral describes it as "partial 16S ribosomal RNA". It matches the Rfam family "Bacterial small subunit ribosomal RNA", at positions 338 to 795 of the family's 1533-position model. The record is from RNAcentral. Lineage: Bacteria; Pseudomonadati; Pseudomonadota; Gammaproteobacteria; Oceanospirillales; Halomonadaceae.